RNAcentral lists this ribosomal RNA (467 nucleotides) under uncultured bacterium. Its description in RNAcentral is "partial 16S ribosomal RNA". It matches the Rfam family "Bacterial small subunit ribosomal RNA", at positions 28 to 506 of the family's 1533-position model. The record is from RNAcentral.
GACGAACGCUGGCGGCGUGCUUAACACAUGCAAGUCGAACGGAAAGGCCCUGCUUUUGCGGGGUGCUCGAGUGGCGAACGGGUGAGUAACACGUGAGUAACCUGCCCUUGACUUUGGGAUAACUUCAGGAAACUGGGGCUAAUACCGGAUAGGAGCUCCUGCUGCAUGGUGGGGGUUGGAAAGUUUCGGCGGUUGGGGAUGGACUCGCGGCUUAUCAGCUUGUUGGUGGGGUAGUGGCUUACCAAGGCUUUGACGGGUAGCCGGCCUGAGAGGGUGACCGGCCACAUUGGGACUGAGAUACGGCCCAGACUCCUACGGGAGGCAGCAGUGGGGAAUAUUGCACAAUGGGCGGAAGCCUGAUGCAGCAACGCCGCGUGCGGGAGGACGGCCUUCGGGUUGUAAACCGCUUUCGCCUGUGACGAAGCGUGAGUGACGGGAAUGGGUAAAGAAGCACCGGCGAACUACGU